UUUCAUACCUAUCCUGCCUAGCUUGCUGUUGGAAAGCUUGUUUGAGAUGGACACUCAUCUCAUAAGCCUCAAGGUGCUCCAGAUCCUUCUGAAGUUCUGGGCACAUAGUUGCCAACAUAAGACAUCCAAUGUCAUUAGAAUCAUCCAUAUGCUUCUUAUGCUUGUUCUUAACAGCAUUAGUAGCAUCAGCAGGAGGUGGUUCAGGGACAGCUUCAUCAAGCACGUAGGACUUUUUCUCUUACUUGAGAACAAUUCUCAAGUUUCUAAACCAGUCAACAAAAUUAGUCCCAUUUUCUUUCAG
RNAcentral lists this long non-coding RNA (301 nucleotides) under Manihot esculenta (cassava). Its description in RNAcentral is "long non-coding RNA (MESC_LNC004482)". The record is from RNAcentral. Lineage: Eukaryota; Viridiplantae; Streptophyta; Magnoliopsida; Malpighiales; Euphorbiaceae.